GCCUUUGCCAAGCAAAUUCAGUACGAUCCAUC
RNAcentral lists this non-coding RNA (32 nucleotides) under Geobacter sulfurreducens KN400. The record is from RNAcentral. Lineage: Bacteria; Pseudomonadati; Thermodesulfobacteriota; Desulfuromonadia; Geobacterales; Geobacteraceae.